AUUGAACGCUGGCGGCAGGCCUAACACAUGCAAGUCGAACGGUAACAGGAAGAAGCUUGCUUCUUUGCUGACGAGUGGCGGACGGGUGAGUAAUGUCUGGGAAACUGCCUGAUGGAGGGGGAUAACUACUGGAAACGGUAGCUAAUACCGCAUAACGUCGCAAGACCAAAGAGGGGGACCUUCGGGCCUCUUGCCAUCGGCUGUGCCCAGAUGGGAUUAGCUAGUAGGUGGGGUAACGGCUCACCUAGGCGACGAUCCCUAGCUGGUCUGAGAGGAUGACCAGCCACACUGGAACUGAGACACGGUCCAGACUCCUACGGGAGGCAGCAGUGGGGAAUAUUGCACAAUGGGCGCAAGCCUGAUGCAGCCAUGCCGCGUGUAUGAAGAAGGCCUUCGGGUUGUAAAGUACUUUCAGCGGGGAGGAAGGGAGUAAAGUUAAUACCUUUGCUCAUUGACGUUACCCGCAGAAGAGGCACCGGCUAACUCCGUG
RNAcentral lists this ribosomal RNA (490 nucleotides) under uncultured bacterium. Its description in RNAcentral is "partial 16S ribosomal RNA". It matches the Rfam family "Bacterial small subunit ribosomal RNA", at positions 30 to 507 of the family's 1533-position model. The record is from RNAcentral.